GGUCAAUGAUGAGAAGUAAAAGGUCUGAUUUACCCAUAAAGCUCUGCCCGACCCGUGCUCCGCAGCAGCCCGCGCUUCGUGCUGCCAGCAUGCUACAAGUAACGACAUGCUGGUCUCUGAGCUGCUGACACACACACAGGAAGUGACACCAUAUUUGGAGUCUGUGUGCAGACCAUCUCAGCUCCUUGUCAUUUACUUCCAACAAGAACCAUCACAGUGGAGUGUAGGGGAGAGGAGGGAUGGGGGGACUGAUCUCAAGUUUUCAACCUGAGACC
Molecule: non-coding RNA, 275 nt
Organism: Dunckerocampus dactyliophorus (ringed pipefish)
Lineage: Eukaryota; Metazoa; Chordata; Actinopteri; Syngnathiformes; Syngnathidae
Product: small Cajal body-specific RNA 6
Exons: 1
Source: RefSeq, a predicted model, not a curated record